Pongo pygmaeus (Bornean orangutan) is the source of this 507-nucleotide long non-coding RNA. RefSeq lists it as uncharacterized. The transcript has 3 exons. NCBI's taxonomy places the organism in Eukaryota, Metazoa, Chordata, Mammalia, Primates, Hominidae. The record is from RefSeq and is a predicted model, not a curated record.
CUGUUCAAGACAGCCCAACAAACUGCUUCAAAAUGGUCUUUUCUGACCUCUUAACUUUGGAAUGCUACAGACGGCAUCCAAAAGAGAGGUAAAUAAAGCUUUUUAUGGUUCACUGAGGACAAUCAACUCCUUCACAAUCUAGAACCCGAAGAUUGAAUAUUCUGUGACCAUCAGAGAAAGACUGUCCUUGCCAUCCACACUGCAACAAAACUUUGGAAACCUGUACCUUGGAUUCAUAACCAAACAACUGAGAAGGGUCCCUCCAUACUCUUGGAAUUGUGCACCCAUUGGAACCCUUAAGGUAAAAUGAACCAAGAAAGUUUCUCCCCAGAAGAAGAUGGAAUACUUGAUGUGAACAGCUUUUCCCAAGAUCACGAAUCAAGACUUCUACUAUCAUGAGACUCUUAUCUUUGGAUAUUUUUUACUUGUUUAUGCCUCUAUGAAUAAUAGAAAUAGAAAGGGGGUCUAUUAUGUGCACUUAGAGGGUAUAUUUUUAUUUGUGUAGGA